GAUUUCUGGUUUGGCGCAUUUGGCCCGCCUCGGUUUACGGGGUUGUGUGCCGGUUUGCGCCUUCCAUCCUUCAUAUGAACGAUUCUACCCUUCACUGGGUUGGAGUCGCUGAUUAUGAUCUUUUACUUUGAAAAAAUUAGAGUGUUUAAAGCAGGCUUGCGCUAUGAAUACAUUAGCAUGGAAUAAUAAUUUAGGACUUUGGUCUUAUUUUGUUGGUUUCUAGGACUAAAGUAAUGAUUGAUAGGGACAGUUGGGGGUGCUAGUAUUCAGCGGCCAGAGGUGAAAUUCUUGGAUUCGCUGAAGACUAACUUAUGCGAAAGCAUU
This 324-nucleotide ribosomal RNA is filed under the name Cercomonadidae sp. RNAcentral describes it as "SSU rRNA". It matches the Rfam family "Eukaryotic small subunit ribosomal RNA", at positions 634 to 955 of the family's 1831-position model. Lineage: Eukaryota; Cercozoa; Cercomonadida; Cercomonadidae. The record is from RNAcentral.